This 6480-nucleotide long non-coding RNA is filed under the name Solanum lycopersicum (tomato). Its description in RNAcentral is "long non-coding RNA (SLYC_LNC001320)". The record is from RNAcentral. Lineage: Eukaryota; Viridiplantae; Streptophyta; Magnoliopsida; Solanales; Solanaceae.
CUGCUUGUCCUUAUUCAAGAUUGGACGACUCCCUUCAUUUUCUCGUUUGAAAUUGGUACUCGUUCUUAGCUAGAAACCUUAUCCUCCAUUUCGAAUUUGAAUUUGUUGAAAUUUCAUCCCGAAUUUCUCCCCUAUUUUCUUCCCUAAUUUAAUUCUAUAAAUACCUUCAUCUUUCUCUUUGUGAAAAAGGGAAAAAAUGAGAGUGAGAGGGUUACAAAAAUGGGAAAAAGUGAAGAAAACUAUUAGUCAUAUACAUUUAUAUAUGAAUACUUAGGAAAGAGGUUUCAAAAUAUAUUGAAAAAACAAAUUUUACUCCCUCUGUUUACUGGUUCAUUUCUGUUUUCAUUAUCGAACUUCUCAGAGUUACGUUUUGGUGGUGGAAGCUUGCUGUCUGUAAUCAUUCAGUCUCGGUUCAGUUGCCCAGAAAAAGGUAAAAGUUCCUUCUUCAUUUACGUUAAUUUUUAUGUUAUGUGUUGAACUUAUCUCAGUUAUAAAAUCCAAUUAUUUAAAUGUGCAUUUAUUUUUCCUUACACAGUGAAGUCAUUUAGCUUAAUCAUGCUUAAUAUGCUAGUUCAGUGGUCUCUCUUUUGUUACUUUAAUGAAGUUGAAGCAUUGUUCCUUUACAACUGUAACAUAUCAGUGGAUUAGGAUGUUCAAGUGGUCCAUUUUAAUAGUCUUAUGAUGUAUUCAUGUAUAUCUUCUAUGUGAAUAUAUUUAUAUCAUGUGUUAUGGCUAUCAUUUUACUUUUAUAUAGUAUGUAGAUUGUAGAACAUACUCAAGCAUUCUUAAAAUCAUUAAUUGCCAUAUUCUGCUAUGAAAUCUUUUUUUAUGCUAUGAGUGUAGUCUUCAAAUCAAAGUUUGUAAUGUGGGUUUUUCAUUUUUCUUAUGUGUUCUACUAUCUAAAAUGAUGAAAAUAAAUGUUUUAUAUUUUAAACAAGUUGCUUAGUAGACUAAAGGGUUGGCUUUGUUAAUGAUAAUUUUAGUGUUACUUCUUGUUUAUUUUGAGAUCCUUCAUUGCUCUUAAUACUAUUUAGUUAUGCUACUUGAUUGUUUAGACUACAUCUUUGCUAGACUUUGACGAAAUUGAGCUUCGCUAAUUUGUUUAUUUCGUUUUUGUUGCAUGUGGUACCACCCGAGUCCUCUUGGACUACAAUCUUCUUCCCUCAUAUUUCGGAUGGGCCAUAAAGGCCCCAAAUCCCCUUUUUCCUUCGACUCAGCCCCCUCGACAAGCUGCAAAAUUGAUGUACAAGUUGAGGUAGAUAAAUAUAGGCUGGAAAUUAUUUUUGAAGGUCUCAAAAAAGCCCAAAAUAAGGUAGUAUACAUGAAGUAUAUAGGUCUGAACUGACAAAACAGGUGUUGGAAGUCUGAAAUGGGAAGCGUACAUUCAACAUACAUCCCAAUAUACAUGAAAAUGAGUCAAAACACAUAUCGUGUACAUCCAUAUACGUUUUUUGUGUACACAGAUUUUAAGUGUGGAAAAAAAGGAAUAUAGGCCAAAAAUCCAAGGAAAUUUCCAGCAAAUCCAUUAGCAGGAAUUUGGGGCAAAGGCCCAAAAUUGACAUCUCCCUCUUUCCUCCCUAUUUACUUUUUAUUAUAAUGACUAAUAUUACUUGAUUGAUUUUGGUUAAUUUAAUUUGAUUUCCAAGAUAUAUAUUUUUCUUUAUAUUCAAAAACACAAAUUUUAAUUUUUUUUGUUGCUUCUUUUUUUAUUUUAAUUUGUCCUGUCAAUACUUAUGAAUUAUUUUCGCUAUUUAUUUUCCACUCAACAUAAUAGAAUAACAAAUUAAGUAAAAUAAAUAAAAAAGUUUGAAUUUACAUAACUAAGUAAAAAUUUGAAAAUCAUUGAAAAGUCAUUUUUAGUCAAAUCAUCGGUCAACCGCGAGUUAGCGGGCAUUCCGAGGGCCUAACACCUUCUCGGAAUGUAUAUUGGAAUUUGAACCAUCUUUCAAUCGAUUUUUAUCUAUUUUAAAUCUUUUUAAAAAUAUUUGUAAGUUUUCUUAAGUUUUACUAAAAAAUCAAUUGGCGACUCUAUUAAUUUAGAAUGUCGAUUUUUCUUAAAUCAUAAGAUUAAUUAAUGUUUGGAAACUUAGUCAGUUUUUCAUUUCUACUAUCACAUAUUUUAAGUAAAACAGUCAUUCAUAGAUAGGAUGACCAAGUCAGCCCACUUUAUUCCUAUCAAAGCUUUAUAUUCGGUGGAAGACUAUUCCAAGAUAUAUAUUAAGGAGAUAUUGAGGAUGCAUGGGUUUCCCUUGUCCAAAAUUUCAGAUAGCGGUACUCAAUUAAGUUCUUACUUUUGAGAGGCUUUCAAAAAUGGGCUUGGUACUAAAGUGAAACUUAGUACCGCAUUUUAUCCCCAAACGGAUGGUCAAGCGGAAUGUAUUAUCCAAACCCUAGAAGACAUGCUGAGGGCAAGUGUUAUUGACUUCAAGAAUAAUUGGGACGAUCAUCUACCGUUGAUAGAUUUUGCAUACAAUAAUAACUACCACUCAAGUAAUUCCAUGGCUCCAUUUGAAGCACUUUAUGGGAGAAGAUGUAGGUCUUUGAUUGGGUGGUUUGAAGUAGGUGAGUUUGCACUUACAGGUCCCAAAAUAUUUUACGAGGUCGUUAAGAAAGUCUGACUUAUUAGAGAUAGGUUGAAGACGACCCAAUGUCAGCAAAAGUCUUAUGCCCAUAAUAAAAGGAGGGAUCUUGAAUUUGAGGUAGGUGAUUGAGUCUACUUGAAGAUUUCACCCAUAAAAAGGGUAAUGAGGUUUAGCAAAAAGGGGAAACUUAGUCCCUCGUAUGUAGUCCCAUAUGAGUUGGCUCCGUUUCACCAGGAAUUUCAUGUUCCCAUGCUCAAUAAAUGCAUAGGUUAUCCAGUGUCUAUCCUUCCUUCAGAAGGAUUAGGAGUUGAUGAGAACCUUACUUAUGAAAAGGUUCUGGUUGAGAUUUCAAACCGGCAAGUAAAGAGAUUGAGGAAUGAAGAGGUAGCUUCCGAAAAGGUUUUUUGGAGGAACCAUCUAGCUGAGAAUGCUACAUGGGAGGCUGAAGCCGACAUGAUGUCCCCUUAUCCUCAUCUUUUCCAUCAUAUUUCUAUUCAAACUUGAGGUAAGUAGUUUCUCUUGAGUUUUUAGUGAAUUGGGAGUUAUCUGUAUUAUAUGAGUAUUUGUUAUGAUUGUAUUUAUGUGGUGCGGGUCCAUGUGAAGAAACAUGUAUAGCAUAACUUGAGUUUCUUAUGAAUUAUAUGUCCUUCAUGUUAAAUUUCUUAAUUAACAUGAAAAUUUCAUAUUUUACUUAUGAUGUGAAUCUAUGAAUAUGCUUAAUUGUGAAGUGGAAUUUUGAAUCCAUAUUGUGGUAUCCUCCUAUUAACAUGAUAUAUGAUGUAUGGUAUGCAAGUUGAGUCGGUAGAUGUAGUUCCUACUUUCUUAUAUCCUUCGACAUGUCCAAAGUUGGAGUUGGAAUUUUCUCCUCCGAAUAAGUGCUUAUAAUGAAUUUUGCAAUUUUAUGUAUAUAUGCUGGUUAGGCUAUUGAUCUAGAGUUUCUAACUUGGUUUGGUGUCUUGGUUGACAUUCGGGGUUAAAUGUUCCCAAGGGGUAGAUAAUGUAAUACCCUAGAAAUCUAAUUACCUAAGAUAGAGCAUCAUAUGAUGUCUAAGAAAUUUAAAAGGAUUAAAAUUAUGUUAUAAGACCUAAUCUAAUGUAACUAACCUAAUAUUAAAGUGUUAGAUAAUCGUCAAGAAACGACCAUGACGUUCGGAAACUUGUAAAUUCGACUAGUGUGGUCUUAGGUUUUGUAUUGAGGUUUGAAAUGUCUUAUGUGGACUAAAUCUUGUAGAAAUAUAUUUUUAGGGUCCAAAAAUCCAGGUAUGACCCUCAAGGACCAGCCUAGGGGCCUUUUGGAAGAACCCAAACAUGGACCCAAAGCUGUCAAAAAUAGCACCUCCUACGAAGCCCAAUAUAUGGCCAGUAUACUGGUCUAAGGACUGUAAAUCUUGGUUGAAGAUGGGGACUUAUCUUGGGGUGCUUAACAGAAAAAAGGGGAGUAUUUGAUGGAAACAACGAGACUACAGUACGAGGCCAUAACUCCACCUACAAUUCUUAGAUGGGUUGCCGUAGUUGCUGCCAGGUUUAAGUUAAUUUCGGAAUUUGUUAAGGGUCUUGUUUUAGUUAGUUAUUUAAUUAGGGGUUAAUGGUUUGUGGUUAGUUAACUAAUUACCUUUUUAAAACCACCUAUAAGACCCUAACACCAAGACUUUAAGUCAUUACAACUCAACUCACAAACUCAACACAACACUCAACUUCCCUCUCAAAACUCUCGUAAAGAACAUCAAAGAACUACAUUGAAGAAGAAGACUAAGGUUAAAAUAGGGCAAAAAGAACUUGAAUUUUCUCCAUAAAUUCUCAAGGAAUCUAUUAAGGUAUGGAAGCUCUUCACUCUUGGGAUCUUUUCUCCAAUAGGCUCUCUCAAAAUUGGAUUUCAAAGUUCCCCAAAUUCUAGGUUCACUUAAUUUCGUGGGUCUCUUUCUAAACUUGUUUCCAUUGAUAUAAAUUGAUUAUUGAUGAUUAUAUAUGAAGUUUUAUGGAUGAACACGAUUAAUAUUUGUGGUGUUUGAAAAAAUCCCCAAAGACCCAUGAAUCUCCCUUCUUUCUCAACUUUAAAACCUUAGUAUGCUUUGAUUAAUGAAUGAAGGAUGAGAAUCUAGUAUGUUUACAUGUAAUUCUAUAUUGUUUUAUGAUGUUACCCUAUACUAUGAAUGAAUGUCAUGAAUUUAGGGUUGAAUCUUGAAGAAAUCCUUGAAGUCUAUCAAUGAAGGUUAUCAAUUGAUUAUUGCUUAAUGUUGACUUGCUGAUCAACUUAUGGUGGAGGUGUUUACAUGAUCUAUAGUCUUAUAUUGCAUUUUUGAUCCACUUAUAAUGUAGGUGCUUACUUGAAUUAUGAAUUUUGGUGUUGAGUGUUGUUCCUCUUCCCUACAACCCUAGUUAUGAACAAGUAUUCUAUGAUAUGAUAUGAACAUGAAUGUUAUGCUGUGCUAUGAUAUGAAUAUGAAUGUUAUGCUAAGAUGUGAACAUGAAUGUUAUGCUAAGAUGUGAACAUGAAUGUUGUGAUACGAGUAUGGGUGUGUUGUUAUGAUAAAUAAGAGGAAAUUCUCAUUAACACUAUAUGACAAUGAUAUGAAAGAAACAUUGUCACUUCAUAUUGGUUCUAUGAUGAAAAACUAUUCUUAUCUUGAAACGCUUGAGCUCUAUGAUAUAUAAGAGAUUAAAUCCCUAAGGUAUUCUUUAUGAACCAAUCCUUUAGUAAAGAAUAAUUGUUACUUAAAAGGGGAAUUUUUGCUUAGCACCAAGUGGAUAUGCAAGUGAGAUGGGUUCCUUCACAAAGGAAGGGAGGUUCCCACUAUGAUGUCUCAUGAUAUGGAAACCCGCAUGGUAGUAAGUAUAAGGUUUCUAGUAGAAUCUUCAUAUCCCAUAACUAUGUACCCACAUAAGACUAUUAGCUAGUAUAUCCACCUAGAUGCUAUAAUUGCUGAUUAUCAUAGAUGGUCGAUAUACUUUUAUAAUCUCUGAUCAUUAACCAAAUCCAUACCAUUAUUGUAAAAAGACAAUAAUGACUGUGGAUUAAGGUUGAUUGAUUCCUAAGUUGGAACCUUAGGCGCCCCCCUCCCCCGAAUCCGAUUUAUUUGGAUCAAUAGGGAGAGUAGAUUAUGAUGAAUUUUUACGACGUUAGCAUUAAAGAAAAUUACAACAUUAUUAUGAAAAUAGUAAUUCAUUUUUUAGUGCGGUCGAAAGAACACAAAAAUUCUCUUGGAGGGGGGGGGUACCUUGGCAAGUAAGACAGUCUUUUCGAUGUGGGAGGUAGACAUCGGAUUCCAUGCAGCUCGCAUGGUCUUUGGGGGUAUGGGACUUUACCUAUGCAUUGCAUACGUGGGUUUUGAUGUACCGUGGUUUGACGGUACUUUCAAUGCUUUUUUCUUAAGUUUAGUGUGUGUCUAAAGCCUUUUUGUAGUAAUUCUAAUGUAUUUUUAUCUGUGUUUGCAGGAAAACUGUCCAAAACAGAAACGCAUAUGACUGUGCUAACAUCAGUGCAGAAGUGAUGACCUAUGGAACCAUCGACGGCGCAUUGACCCAUCGACGUUCGUAAGUGGUGAUCGUCGACUGAAGGUUUAUGCUACUGAAAUCAAAUCGAUAGAAUUCUGACUAAGUAUGGGUCUACAGAAGGAUCGACGAUCCGUAAGUCCACCAUGUUGUUGGUCCGUCGAUUGUAACAGAAAGGAUGCAAAGUGGAGGCUGAAAAAAAUUCUAAGUGUGGACCGACGGAGGUAGUGAUGGACCGUCAGUUGGGUCGUCGACUGAAGAUGCAUUUUAGACAGAUAUUUUCAUAUUUAGAACUCCUUUUAAUUUAGGACUUUAUUAUUAUAAAUAGGACUAAAAACCUCGUUUUUGGGGUUAGAAUUUUUAUUAUUUUUCAUACUCUUGAUAUUGGAAGUUGAAUUUUGGAUUUUGG